CUGACAUCCAUUUUAGUGUAUAAAUUCUCUGAAAUCAGGAUGAAUAAUAAUCCUGGUCAGUUUGUCUUUGGCUGCUCUUCAAUUCAGCAGAAAAAAUAGUCUAUCACAAAAAUGUUUCAUUGUGUAAUACUUGACUGCUUUUAUCUGUUUAUGCCACACACAGAGCAGUAAUAAAUGUUUAAAGGAAAAUGUGGGUUCCAGGAAUACAGGUGUAUGAAGAAAUAUCAGCUGGAUUCUCCCCCAGUUUCUUUAGAAGGGUGAGAAAAUCUGCAGCGAUUCUGAGCUUUCAUUAUUGAUAGAGACUUGGAACCUGCAACCCACAGAAGUCCCAAGAGUGCGGAUUUAUCCAUGGAAUUAUACCAAGAAUAAAUUAGACCACGGACAUCAGAGGCACCACUCACAGGCGUAUGAACUACUGGCUCCAGUCCACUGUUUCCGUACUUUGGUUAUUUCCAUUUAGUUUAACUUGAUUAGAUUCCAACACUCAGUAAACUUGAUCAAAUUUUUUUUGAAGAAUAUGUUUGCAUAUCAACUACAUUUUUCACAUCCUUGCUCAGCCUCUGGAAAAAGCUCUUAAUAAAGAGGGAACUUACAGUUUCGCCUGUAAAAUAGCAACAGCCAAAUUUCCACUAUGAUUUGGGAUCAAGCAUCAAGUGCUGGAAGAAUAUGUUGCAAUUAUCCAGGUGAAUUGUUAACUGAAAUGUAAGGUUACUAACUGAGGUAAUUACCGCAGUGUCACUAUGAACACACUACCCCUGCAUUCUCCCAGCAUGAUACAGUGCUUAUGAUGGAUAGUGGCUGUUAGGUCCAGACUGGGAGCAGCAGCAACCUGUUCUUAAAUCCUUCCUCUGUCUAAUGCUCCUUGCUUAACACUCUGUUAAUUCCUGGUAACCCUGCUAUUCUUCCAAGGGCCUUAAAAAAAAAAACAAAAAAAAACCCACUUCCUUCAUCAUGCCAUUGUUUCAUCAUGACUUUGUGAAAGAAGAAAAGAAGGGGAAAAAAAAAAAGAAAGGAAAAAAGAAGGAUUGAGAUGGAACAAAAGACUGUGUAGCAGCAAGGAGCUUCUCCUGCAUCCACUUACUGAAGAAUGCAGAGUUCAAUCUUCAAAAUGGGAAAUCAACUUGUAUUUCUUACAGACAAGCAUUUUCUGUUGCAGAAAAACAAGUAAUAAACGUUCUCCC
This 1181-nucleotide long non-coding RNA is filed under the name Gallus gallus (chicken). RNAcentral's name for it is "lncRNA (ENSGALG00010019207.1)". The record is from RNAcentral. Lineage: Eukaryota; Metazoa; Chordata; Aves; Galliformes; Phasianidae.